Molecule: ribosomal RNA, 484 nt
Filed under: uncultured bacterium
Lineage: Bacteria
Description: partial 16S ribosomal RNA
Rfam family: Bacterial small subunit ribosomal RNA
Source: RNAcentral
AUUGAACGCUGGCGGCAGGCCUAACACAUGCAAGUCGAGCGGAUGAAGGGAGCUUGCUCCUGGAUUCAGCGGAGGAGGGGGGAGUAAUGCCUAGGAAGCUGCCUGGUAGUGGGGGAGAACGUCCGGAAACGGGAGAGAAUACCGCAUACGUCCGGAGGGAGAAAGUGGGGGAUCGUCGGAGGUAACGCGAUCAGAUGAGACUAGGUCGGAUUAGCUAGUUGGUGGGGGAAAGGCCUACCAAGGCGACGAUCCGUAACUGGUCUGAGAGGAUGAUCAGUCACACUGGAACUGAGACACGGUCCAGCCUCCUACGGGAGGCACCAGUGGGGAAUAUUGGACAAUGGGCGAAAGCCUGAUCCAGCCAUGCCUCGUGUGUGAAGAAGGUCUUCGGAUUGUAAAGCACUUUAAGUUGUGAGGAAGGGCACUAAGUUAAUACCUUGCUGUUUUGACGUUACCAACAGAAUAAGCACCGGCUAACUUCGUG